This 465-nucleotide ribosomal RNA is filed under the name Vreelandella stevensii. RNAcentral's name for it is "partial 16S ribosomal RNA". It matches the Rfam family "Bacterial small subunit ribosomal RNA", at positions 338 to 795 of the family's 1533-position model. Lineage: Bacteria; Pseudomonadati; Pseudomonadota; Gammaproteobacteria; Oceanospirillales; Halomonadaceae. The record is from RNAcentral.
CCUACGGGCGGCAGCAGUGGGGAAUAUUGGACAAUGGGCGAAAGCCUGAUCCAGCCAUGCCGCGUGUGUGAAGAAGGCCUUCGGGUUGUAAAGCACUUUCAGUGGGGAAGAAAGCCUUGGGGCUAAUACCCUCGAGGAAGGACAUCACCCACAGAAGAAGCACCGGCUAACUCCGUGCCAGCAGCCGCGGUAAUACGGAGGGUGCGAGCGUUAAUCGGAAUUACUGGGCGUAAAGCGCGUGUAGGCGGUCUGAUAAGCCGGUUGUGAAAGCCCCGGGCUCAACCUGGGAACGGCAUCCGGAACUGUCAGGCUAGAGUGCAGGAGAGGAAGGUAGAAUUCCCGGUGUAGCGGUGAAAUGCGUAGAGAUCGGGAGGAAUACCAGUGGCGAAGGCGGCCUUCUGGACUGACACUGACGCUGAGGUGCGAAAGCGUGGGUAGCAAACAGGAUUAGAUACCCCUGUAGUC